GCAAUUUGCAGUGGUUAGAAAUGACAAAGGAUGGGUGGUAGGAUCCAGAGAAAAAACAGUGAAACCCGAUGGACCUUAAAUAGAUCUGAGGGCACUGAUUUGAUUAUUUUGGGUGAAAUCUUUUAAGAAAAUCUUGUCAGAUUCUUCACAGAAAAUUUGGUAAAGCCUAUAUUUCAUCGCCAGCCUAGCAAAGGUAAGACCCACGUUAAUUUUCUUGGAAUAUCACUGUUGUUUUUAUUCUUAGGGUGUAUGUUAGGGAGAAGAGCAGGGAGGUAGUUUGUCAGAUGUUGUUCUUUCCUUGUUAAGCUUCACCUGUUCUUAAGAGCAACUUGCACUUUGUCAGCCACAGAAUAGUGCCUGCCGUUCAGGCCAGUGUUUUAGAUAUAAUUGAAUUGCUGGGACGCAUUAAACAUCAUAGGGUUUUUAGCGGAGAAAUAAUUUAAUGAUGUGGCCUUUAGGAUUGUUAAUUAGCACUGUCUGUAUGAACAUGUAACAAUAACACCACCUACCGUAAAAGCGAAUGUUCUACACUUCAGGACACUCAUUUCUUUAGGGCUUCCCGCAGAGAAGCAGUCAUUAACUCUUUUUUUGACAAAUGCUUUUAGACAUGCUCUGUAGGGCCGUGAAUUCACCCUUCCCUCCAAUCCUGAAUCCUUCUCUGCAUUUAUCCACAAGGCAAGCUGGCAAACAGGGAAACAAGGAGAACUGUGUGCUCAGCCCUCCAGAGUGGCACGGAUUAUGAGGAGGUGAUGGUCCUUCCCCGCCAAGAUCCUGAGACACUGUCACUCCGGAAUCCAAAAAGAGAUUCAGAUACCAUGAAAGGAUUUGAGCGUUUUUUUAUGUGAAUCCAAAGAUGACAUUUACAAAAGGUGGAGAAGCAGUUCCCUACUGAGGGACGUGGAUACAAAAAGCAGAUGACACAACACAUCCCAUAGAGUUCCCAGGGAAGAAUGAACCCAGAUUCUUGACCUGCAGAGGUGGCGUACUGGCUGGAGAAAUCUCUGGCUGGCGACCGUGCUAUUCUGUCUGUCCACCUAACUGUGGGCUCCCAGAUCACCACUGCCAUGGGCAGGGGGCCGUGGGGUGGGCCUGCUUGGGGUGACAGGCUAGCUGUGCUCCCAUAGCAGAGGUGGGAGAAGGGAAUCACAUCUGGUGAGCAGCUAUGUCGUGCCAGGCACUGUGCUGUGUAUUGCACACAUCUCAAA
RNAcentral lists this long non-coding RNA (1205 nucleotides) under Homo sapiens (human). RNAcentral describes it as "non-protein coding NFIA-AS2:16". The record is from RNAcentral. Lineage: Eukaryota; Metazoa; Chordata; Mammalia; Primates; Hominidae.